CGGGGGGGGCAAGCGUUGUUCGGAAUUACUGGGCGUAAAGGGCGUGUAGGUGGCCAACUAAGUCCGACGUGAAAUCCCCAGGCUUAACCUGGGAACUGCGUCGGAUACUGGAUGGCUUGAAUUCGGGAGAGGGAUGCAGAAUUCCAGGUGUAGCGGUGAAAUGCGUAGAUAUCUGGAGGAAUACCGGUGGCGAAGGCGGCAUCCUGGACCGAGAUUGACACUAAAGCGCGAAAGCCAGGGGAGCAAACGGGAUUAGAUACCCCGGUAGUCCUGGCCCUAAACGAUGAAUGCUUGGUGUGGCGGGUAUCGAUCCCUGCCGUGCCGAAGCUAACGCAUUAAGCAGUCCGCCUGGGGAGUACGGUCGCAAGGCUG
RNAcentral lists this ribosomal RNA (372 nucleotides) under uncultured organism. Its description in RNAcentral is "bacterial SSU rRNA". It matches the Rfam family "Bacterial small subunit ribosomal RNA", at positions 526 to 896 of the family's 1533-position model. The record is from RNAcentral.